AAGGAGUCUAACAUAUCUGCGAGUCUUUGGGUGUCAAACCCGAGUGCGCAAUGAAAGUGAACGUGGGAGCCACGCGCAAGCUGCAGCUUCGACCGAUCUGGAUCUUUAGUGAUGGAUUUGAGUAAGAGCAUAUAUGUUGUGACCCGAAAGAUGGUGAACUAUGCCUGAAUAGGGCGAAGCCAGAGGAAACUCUGGUGGAGGCUCGUAGCGAUUCUGACGUGCAAAUCGAUCGUCAAAUUUGGGUAUAGGGGCGAAAGACGACUCGAACCAUCUAGUAGCUGGUUCCUGC
This 289-nucleotide unclassified non-coding RNA is filed under the name uncultured fungus. RNAcentral's name for it is "partial contains 5.8S rRNA, ITS2 and 28S rRNA". It matches the Rfam family "Eukaryotic large subunit ribosomal RNA", at positions 668 to 961 of the family's 3401-position model. The record is from RNAcentral. Lineage: Eukaryota; Fungi.